This 1032-nucleotide ribosomal RNA is filed under the name uncultured bacterium. Its description in RNAcentral is "bacterial SSU rRNA". It matches the Rfam family "Bacterial small subunit ribosomal RNA", at positions 8 to 1027 of the family's 1533-position model. The record is from RNAcentral.
AGAGUUUGAUCCUGGCUCAGAUUGAACGCUGGCGGCAUGCCUUACACAUGCAAGUCGAACGGCAGCAUGAUCUAGCUUGCUAGAUUGAUGGCGAGUGGCGAACGGGUGAGUAAUACAUCGGAACGUGCCCUGUAGUGGGGGAUAACUAGUCGAAAGAUUAGCUAAUACCGCAUACGACCUGAGGGUGAAAGUGGGGGACCGCAAGGCCUCAUGCUAUAGGAGCGGCCGAUGUCUGAUUAGCUAGUUGGUGGGGUAAGGGCCCACCAAGGCGACGAUCAGUAGCUGGUCUGAGAGGACGAUCAGCCACACUGGGACUGAGACACGGCCCAGACUCCUACGGGAGGCAGCAGUGGGGAAUUUUGGACAAUGGGCGAAAGCCUGAUCCAGCAAUGCCGCGUGUGUGAAGAAGGCCUUCGGGUUGUAAAGCACUUUUGUCCGGAAAGAAAUGGCUCUGGUUAAUACCUGGGGUCGAUGACCGUACCGGAAGAAUAAGGACCGGCUAACUACGUGCCAGCAGCCGCGGUAAUACGUAGGGUCCAAGCGUUAAUCGGAAUUACUGGGCGUAAAGCGUGCGCAGGCGGUUGUGCAAGACCGAUGUGAAAUCCCCGAGCUUAACUUGGGAAUUGCAUUGGUGACUGCACGGCUAGAGUGUGUCAGAGGGGGGUAGAAUUCCACGUGUAGCAGUGAAAUGCGUAGAGAUGUGGAGGAAUACCGAUGGCGAAGGCAGCCCCCUGGGAUAACACUGACGCUCAUGCACGAAAGCGUGGGGAGCAAACAGGAUUAGAUACCCUGGUAGUCCACGCCCUAAACGAUGUCAACUAGUUGUUGGGGAUUCAUUUCCUUAGUAACGUAGCUAACGCGUGAAGUUGACCGCCUGGGGAAUACGGUCGCAAGAUUAAAACUCAAAGGAAUUGACGGGGACCCGCACAAGCGGUGGAUGAUGUGGAUUAAUUCGAUGCAACGCGAAAAACCUUACCUACCCUUGACAUGCCACUAACGAAGCAGAGAUGCAUUAGGUGCUCGAAAGAGAAA